This 253-nucleotide ribosomal RNA is filed under the name uncultured prokaryote. RNAcentral describes it as "partial 16S ribosomal RNA". It matches the Rfam family "Bacterial small subunit ribosomal RNA", at positions 524 to 776 of the family's 1533-position model. The record is from RNAcentral.
UACGUAGGGUGCGAGCGUUAAUCGGAAUUACUGGGCGUAAAGCGCACGCAGGUGGUUGGGCAAGUCGGGUGUGAAAUCCCCGGGCUCAACCUGGGAACUGCAUCCGAGACUGCAUUGCUAGAGUAUGGGAGAGGGAAGCGGAAUUUCUGGUGUAGCGGUGAAAUGCGUAGAUAUCAGGAGGAACACCUGUGGUGUAGACAGCUUACUGGACCAUAACUGACGCUGAGGCACGAAAGCGUGGGUAGCAAACAGG